Molecule: unclassified non-coding RNA, 374 nt
Filed under: Hevea brasiliensis (rubber tree)
Lineage: Eukaryota; Viridiplantae; Streptophyta; Magnoliopsida; Malpighiales; Euphorbiaceae
Source: RNAcentral
UCUUCAUGCUUUGAAGAAAUACACCUACGGAAAACACAUAGUGGCUCGAUUUGAACAGCUCUCCGAACAGCUGUGUAAUGAAGAUAUUGGAACCUGUGAACCCUAGAUCGUUGAACAAAGAGUUCUCUACUCGUCCGGUGGACGGUGGAAUUGUUUGCAGCAGCCGAACUGUUGAUUGUUCAGUAAGCAGUAUGCAAAGUACCAGUGGUAACUGUUAACCCUAGAGUGGUGUUGUUUUAUUUGCCGACUAUAUCCAAGAUUGUAGAUAUCUUGAAUAAUCGAAGCAUGUAUUAUGGGAGAAAAAUAUUCAGUGCGCACUAAAUUAGUAAGAUUUGCUUGCUUUGGGGGUGGCUUUCUACAAAUAUGCUCAAAAG